RNAcentral lists this ribosomal RNA (253 nucleotides) under Gaiella sp. RNAcentral describes it as "partial 16S ribosomal RNA". It matches the Rfam family "Bacterial small subunit ribosomal RNA", at positions 524 to 776 of the family's 1533-position model. RNAcentral also lists the same sequence under 2 other names. Lineage: Bacteria; Bacillati; Actinomycetota; Thermoleophilia; Gaiellales; Gaiellaceae. The record is from RNAcentral.
UACGUAGGGGGCAAGCGUUGUCCGGAUUUAUUGGGCGUAAAGAGCGUGUAGGCGGCCAGGUAGGUCGGUUGUGAAAACUAGAGGCUUAACCUCUAGACGUCGACCGAAACCAUCUGGCUAGAGUCCGGAAGAGGAGAGUGGAAUUCCUGGUGUAGCGGUGAAAUGCGCAGAUAUCAGGAAGAACACCCGUGGCGAAAGCGGCUCUCUGGGACGGUACUGACGCUGAGACGCGAAAGCGUGGGGAGCGAACAGG